GUACCUUUAGCUCAAUUGGUUAGAGCAGACGGCUCAUAACCGUCCGGUCGUAGGUUCGAGUCCUACAGGGUACA
RNAcentral lists this transfer RNA (74 nucleotides) under Enterococcus faecium. RNAcentral describes it as "tRNA-Ile". It matches the Rfam family "tRNA". From Rfam's summary of the family: Transfer RNA (tRNA) molecules are approximately 80 nucleotides in length. The record is from RNAcentral. Lineage: Bacteria; Bacillati; Bacillota; Bacilli; Lactobacillales; Enterococcaceae.